Molecule: long non-coding RNA, 367 nt
Organism: Phalaenopsis equestris
Lineage: Eukaryota; Viridiplantae; Streptophyta; Magnoliopsida; Asparagales; Orchidaceae
Exons: 2
Source: RefSeq, a predicted model, not a curated record
CCAUGCAGUUCUUGCUGUCGGCUAUGGAGCUGAAAAUGGUAUUGCCUACUGGCUUAACAACACAUGGGGUGGAGACUGGGGUGAUAAUGGCUACUUUAAGAUGGAUUUUGGCAAGAACAUAUGAGGCGUUGCGAGUUGUUCGUCUUAGACCGCUGUUGAUGUGUAGAAUCUUCUAUAAAUUAAAACGAUGAGCUUAGAGUUUUGUUAUCUUUAGCAAUGUUUGAGGGUUUGUUUGAAAGAAAACUCAUAAUAAGUAGAAGGUGAGGGAAUGUGUUAAGAUGCAUUAAGGUAGUAUUGUGAAAUAUGUGAACUUUCUGUUUUGGUUGUGAUAUUGGAAAAUUCUCUUUGUUGUUUGUUUUAUUAUAAA